UCAACUCGCCCGGAGCCGAGCAAGUUGAAGUGUCAGAUUACAUUGGCUAUUCUAUUUCCAAAGGGCCCCGCGCCGCCGGCCGGCCGCAAAAGCCGGUGCGGAACUGGGGGAGGAGGGAGGAGCGGAGCGCAGCGCCAACGCCGCCGCCGCCGCCGCCAGCGCUCAGCUCGGCUUCCCUAGCGCUCUCUGCGGUCUCGCCUUUCUCGCGGUCUCUUCGCCUGUCUUUCUCUCCCUUUCCUUUCCCUCUUUUUCUCCUUUUUUUCCGAGCGUCUCGGUCUGGGCGCUCUCCAGGCUUUUUCCCCUCUAGGGCUCCGAUAGGCUUCGUGCGUCACCCACUCCCCUACUCCCACUCACCUCCUCUCUCUUCCCUCCACUGCUCUCUGGAAGCUCCCACCCACCCCCUCCCUAACUGCGACCUCACCCCUAGCUGCCCCAGCAAGUUUGGAGCAGGAGAGAAAUGCUGAACCUAAGAUGUGUUCAUACUGGGAAGGAGGCUGAAAUCACCAGUCUCAGCGGAGUGUCCCCCGCUCUGCUCUCACGCCCCCGACAGGAGUGCGCUCGGGGCUGCGAAAGCUGUCAGGUACCAGUACUAGGGCUGAGCGAGUUGCUAAAGAGAUUGCCAAAGCCUUCCGCUGGAGAAGGCUUUGGGGUUGUUCCUAAAGCCCGGGGGCUGGCGGGUGGGGGGAGCAGAGGACGCCAGCCCCCUCCCACCAAAGGCAAUGUUGGAGGAGGCUGGAGCGCCGGGUAGAAGCGGUGCGCAAGGUCUGUCCCCGCACUCUCUGCGGUCCAAAAGCGCUUGGAUUCCCCAAGGCCCCGCGGGGAACAUCCCAGGCCCAAAGUGCGCGGGCGGUGGGCGGCGGGGGCUGGGGGUGGGCGGGCGAGAAGGGAGCGGUGGCGCAGGAUUCCGGCUUAGGGCUGUGCACUGUCCCAGGAGUCGGGGAGAAAGAUGGCACUCACAAGGUGUAGUUGGAUACAGCCGCUCGCGGGGUUCCCCAGGCAGACCCACCCUUGAGAGCAUCUAA
Molecule: long non-coding RNA, 1022 nt
Filed under: Capra hircus (goat)
Lineage: Eukaryota; Metazoa; Chordata; Mammalia; Artiodactyla; Bovidae
Description: lncRNA (ENSCHIG00010012643.1)
Source: RNAcentral